GGAGAGAUGCGAGAGCGGUUGAAUCGGGCGGUCUCGAAAACCGUUGAACCCGCGAGGGUUCCGGGGGUUCGAAUCCCCCUCUCUCCG
This 87-nucleotide transfer RNA is filed under the name Treponema sp. RNAcentral's name for it is "tRNA-Ser". It matches the Rfam family "tRNA". From Rfam's summary of the family: Transfer RNA (tRNA) molecules are approximately 80 nucleotides in length. Their secondary structure includes four short double-helical elements and three loops (D, anti-codon, and T loops). RNAcentral also lists the same sequence under 4 other names. The record is from RNAcentral. Lineage: Bacteria; Pseudomonadati; Spirochaetota; Spirochaetia; Treponematales; Treponemataceae.